Molecule: small RNA, 3462 nt
Filed under: Pongo abelii (Sumatran orangutan)
Lineage: Eukaryota; Metazoa; Chordata; Mammalia; Primates; Hominidae
Description: retained intron
Source: RNAcentral
UUUGCAGAGACAAAAAGUGUAAUGAAAAAUUGGUAAUUCUUUUCUAGUUAAGUUGUAGUCUUAAAAAUUAUCUUUUUAUGUUUCAAAUUUUAGAAAUAUGGAAAACUGACAACUUGUACUGGUUGCCGAACACAGUGCAGGUUUUUUGAUAUGACUCAGUGUAUAGGUCCUAAUGGAUAUAUGGAGCCAUAUUGUUCAACUGCUUGUAUGAACAGUCACAAGACAAAAUAUGCAAAAUCACAAAGUUUGGGAAUUAUUUGCCAUUUUUGUAAGCGAAACUCUUUACCUCAAUACCAAGCCACAAUGCCUGAUGGAAAACUGUAUAACUUUUGCAAUUCCAGUUGUGUGGCUAAAUUUCAGGGUAUUACCCAAAGGUUCAAACCCGUGCAUAAAGCCAUGCUUCAUGAGUUAAUUCAUCCAACAAUUCUGCUUUGUUCCAGGCUCUAAGUAUGCAGUCAUCUCCAAAUGGCCAGUUUGUAGCGCCAAGUGAUAUUCAGUUGAAAUGCAACUACUGCAAAAAUUCCUUUUGUUCAAAACCAGAAAUCCUGGAAUGGGAGAACAAAGUGCAUCAGUUCUGCAGCAAAACUUGUUCAGAUGACUAUAAGAAGUUGCAUUGCAUAGUUACAUAUUGCGAAUACUGUCAAGAGGAGAAGACUCUUCAUGAAACAGUAAAUUUCUCUGGCGUUAAGAGACCUUUCUGUAGUGAAGGCUGCAAAUUAUUAUACAAACAGGAUUUUGCCAGACGUUUAGGAUUGAGAUGUGUUACUUGCAACUAUUGUUCUCAGCUAUGUAAGAAGGGAGCAACUAAAGAACUCGAUGGUGUUGUGAGAGAUUUCUGCAGUGAAGACUGCUGUAAAAAAUUUCAGGAUUGGUACUACAAGGCUGCAAGGUGUGACUGUUGUAAAUCUCAAGGAACUCUUAAAGAGCGAGUUCAGUGGCGUGGGGAAAUGAAACAUUUCUGUGAUCAACAUUGCUUACUGCGUUUCUACUGUCAACAAAAUGAGCCCAACAUGACAACUCAGAAGGGACCUGAAAACUUACAUUAUGAUCAGGGUUGUCAGACGUCUCGAACCAAAAUGACAGGUUCAGCACCACCCCCUUCUCCAACACCUAACAAAGAGAUGAAGAACAAAGCAGUUCUUUGCAAACCUUUAACAAUGACAAAAGCUACUUACUGUAAACCUCACAUGCAGACCAAAUCUUGUCAGACAGAUGAUACUUGGAAGACAGAAUAUGUUCCAGUGCCUAUCCCUGUACCUGUGUAUAUCCCAGUUCCUAUGCACAUGUACAGUCAGAAUAUUCCUGUUCCUACUACAGUUCCUGUUCCUGUGCCAGUUCCUGUUUUUCUGCCUGCUCCAUUGGACAGCAGUGAGAAGAUUCCUGCAGCAAUUGAGGAGCUAAAAAGCAAGGUUUCUUCAGAUGCUCUUGAUACAGAGUUGCUUACAAUGACGGAUAUGAUGAGUGAAGACGAGGGGAAAACAGAGACUACCAACAUCAACAGUGUAAUUAUUGAAACAGAUAUAAUUGGUUCAGACCUUUUGAAGAACUCUGACCCAGAGACACAGUCCAGCAUGCCUGAUGUACCAUAUGAACCAGAUUUGGAUAUCGAAAUAGAUUUUCCCAGAGCUGCUGAGGAGCUUGAUAUGGAAAAUGAAUUUUUAUUACCACCUGUUUUUGGUGAAGAAUAUGAGGAACAGCCCAGACCUCGAUCUAAAAAAAAGGGAGCCAAGAGAAAGGCUGUGUCAGGAUACCAGUCUCAUGAUGAUAGUUCUGACAAUUCAGAAUGCAGCUUUCCUUUCAAAUAUACGUAUGGCGUAAACGCAUGGAAACACUGGGUCAAAACUAGGCAACUUGAUGAAGAUCUUCUGGUAUUAGACGAGUUAAAAUCUUCUAAAUCAGUAAAGUUAAAAGAGGAUCUACUCUCUCACACCACAGCUGAGCUUAACUAUGGGUUAGCUCAUUUUGUCAAUGAGAUCCGACGGCCAAAUGGAGAGAAUUAUGCACCUGACAGCAUCUAUUACCUUUGCCUUGGAAUACAGGAGUAUUUGUGUGGAAGUAAUCGAAAAGACAACAUAUUUAUUGAUCCUGGAUACCAAACAUUUGAGCAAGAAUUGAAUAAAAUACUGCGAAGCUGGCAACCAAGCAUACUUCCAGAUGGGUCAAUAUUCUCUCGAGUUGAAGAAGACUAUCUCUGGAGGAUAAAACAACUAGGAUCACACUCUCCAGUAGCUCUUCUGAAUACACUGUUCUACUUUAACACUAAGUAUUUUGGCCUGAAAACAGUGGAACAACACUUAAGACUUUCCUUUGGCACUGUGUUUAGGCAUUGGAAAAAAAAUCCUUUAACGAUGGAAAACAAAGCGUGUCUUCGAUACCAAGUGUCUUCCUUAUGUGGAACAGAUAAUGAAGAUAAAAUUACUACUGGAAAAAGAAAACAUGAAGAUGAUGAGCCAGUAUUUGAACAAAUUGAAAACACAGCCAAUCCUUCCAGAUGUCCUGUGAAAAUGUUUGAAUGCUACUUGUCUAAAAGUCCACAGAAUCUUAAUCAGAGGAUGGAUGUUUUUUAUUUGCAACCAGAAUGUUCUAGUUCUACAGAUAGCCCUGUCUGGUAUACGUCUACUUCACUGGACCGAAACACCUUGGAAAAUAUGCUUGUACGGGUUCUUCUAGUAAAAGAUAUUUAUGAUAAAGACAAUUAUGAACUGGAUGAAGACACAGACUAAAAAGGAACGUUGCAGAAGCAAUCGGGAUAAAACAGCAUUAGAUAGUCAUGCUGCUAGAUCUUUAUUAUGGAAAACAUUUCAAGUUUACUCCUUCUGUUUUGAGUUUUGUAGCAGUGUACCCACGCUGGGUAUUACCAUGUAAAUAAUCUGUGAGUGAAAGUUGCCAUUAUUCUAUGUAGUGGUUUUAGGAUACUUAACAAAUACAUUCAGAUUCUUUUUUUAUUAUUAUUUAUUUGAUUAGGUAUGUUUGUAACUUUUUACAUUACAGAAUAUGAAUGAGAAUGUGCCAUGUAUAAUUUUUUUCUUGUAGUAAGAAACAUCCAUAUUGCACAACUCUACUGUUGCAAAGCUUCCUUGGAAGGGGGCUCUUUUACUGGGUUCUUAACCAGAUGGUUGUGUAUGGGUAGCACUACUAAAAGUUUAGAACUUGCAGUGUCUUUCGGAAUUUUUAAAAUAAACUGUAAACUAAUAGGCUGGGGUUUUUGUUUUGUUUCGGGGUUUUGUUUUGUUUUGUUUUGUUUUACAUUUUAGUUACUGAAGCCUUACAAGGUUAUGUAGAGAGAUACCAUCUUCUGUACCAAAAAUAGACAAGAGAAUGCUGUCAAUAUUGGUGUACUGUAAUGUGAAUCUAUACUGGUGAAAACAAUUUUUUGUUCCCCUUAUUAAAACCUUAGUGUCCUUUUCUCAUUUGUGGCUUUCUGCAUCACCCAAUCAAUAAAAAAACAAAUAUAUAUAUGUA